This 1004-nucleotide long non-coding RNA is filed under the name Mytilus galloprovincialis (Mediterranean mussel). The record is from RNAcentral. Lineage: Eukaryota; Metazoa; Mollusca; Bivalvia; Mytilida; Mytilidae.
ACAAAGAAGCAUGGGAAUUUUAUAUCAAAAAGAUCUAAAGAAUUACUAGCGAACACAGGUAAAAUUAAGAACCAAAAUGUAUGAAAUUAAAAAUCAAAAUGUCUGCAAUAACCACAUCUGCCACAUAAUCAUUCAAAAUAUGAUCAUCUUACUCAUCUAUUACACCCUCUAUUCUUAUUCAGAAGUAUUAAAAAGCAGUAAUGGCUCUAUAAAUUUAGUGUAAACAAAACAGUCAUGAGGUCUUAAAAAUGAUCUGCCUUGAGGUAAAACUGAUGCUAGUGAAGCGGGUUUCUGCUCACCCUCGUGGACCACCUGAGAUCACCAAGGUUUUUAGGCAGCAACCAUUUGAUUUUCUGGGGGGGGCUAUGGUUUUUUUUGGAAAAAAAAGUUUUGUUUCCAGGUUUUGGUGAAAAAAAAUAAUUUGUUUUGGACCUGAGUAAAAAAAAUUGUUUGUUUCACCCUCAGCUGCACUAUGUUAAUGCUAAAAUUGAAAGAAAAAAAUUGUCUUCGGUUUUCGCUAAAAAAUAGAUUGUUCUUCGCCGAAGGCGAAAAAAAAAGUUUGCACAGAAAAAAAAACCAUAGCCCCCCCCAGAAAAUCAAAUGGUUGCUGCCUUAGUAUGGGUUUGUUGCUUAGUAUUUUUUGUAGGCUAUCAUUGUUUUUCUUAUUUUGCCUUCGUUUUGUCGUUCUCUCUUUGUCUUGUUAGUUAUGAUUGUCCCUUUCGUAACUGCUGCCUCUUUUUUAGUGUAUUUUUGUUAUUAUUUAUGUAGUAAGUUAUACAUGAGAUACAUUUUUUUGCAUAUUUUUGUGUUGUUAUUUUUGUUAUGGAGAUUGUUUUCCCAACAUUACCAAGUUUUGCAUGCAAAUAUUUUGUGCAUAAUAAUUAAGUUUUGAUGACUAUGAUUGAUAACAAAUUGCUUGUUUCUGACUAUCUGUGUGGUCAGAAGCACUAUAGAAGGUGACCCUUUUUUAGCUCACCUGGCCGAAAGGCCAAGUGACCUUUUCU